AUGAAUUGGACAGUCGUAGACAAGUUCCAAGAGCCAAUCCAAACAGAUAGCGCGUCAUGUGGAUUGUUUAUGUUAAAUUGUAUGGAGUAUUGGACUGGAGAUAUUUUGUCUGAUAAUUUCACUCAGGAGGACAUGAAAGAAUUUCGACGAAAAUUAGCUGUCAUAUUGUUGGAGACAGAACUUAAUAAGUUAAAAGGAAGUCCAAUAUAUUAUCGGACUGACAAUGAAGAAAAUGUAUCUGACAAUGAAGAAAAUGUAUUUGAUUCUGAUGUUGAGUUUCUGAAGGACCGAAAGCGUAAGCGGCAAGAUUCACAUGAUGGAGCCGAAGACAAAAGCCCCCUUCGGAACCCCAUCAUGGCCGCGGACCCGCAAGAUUUAGUUGAUGAACUAUGCAACCACAUCAUGUCAAUUAAUGAUGCUACUUCCUUGGAGAGUGGGUGCGAAGUUCUAAACCCCAUCCGAUAG
This 465-nucleotide ribosomal RNA is filed under the name Triticum aestivum (bread wheat). Its description in RNAcentral is "partial small subunit ribosomal RNA". Lineage: Eukaryota; Viridiplantae; Streptophyta; Magnoliopsida; Poales; Poaceae. The record is from RNAcentral.